AGAGUUUGAUCCUGGCUCAGAUUGAACGCUGGCGGCAUGCCUUACACAUGCAAGUCGAACGGCAGCACGGGGGCAACCCUGGUGGCGAGUGGCGAACGGGUGAGUAAUACAUCGGAACGUGUCCUGUAGUGGGGGAUAGCCCGGCGAAAGCCGGAUUAAUACCGCAUACGCUCUACGGAGGAAAGGGGGGGAUCUUAGGACCUCCCGCUAGAGGGGCGGCCGAUGGCAGAUUAGCUAGUUGGUGGGGUAAAGGCCUACCAAGGCGACGAUCUGUAGCUGGUCUGAGAGGACGACCAGCCACACUGGGACUGAGACACGGCCCAGACUCCUACGGGAGGCAGCAGUGGGGAAUUUUGGACAAUGGGCGAAAGCCUGAUCCAGCAAUGCCGCGUGUGUGAAGAAGGCCUUCGGGUUGUAAAGCACUUUUGUCCGGAAAGAAAUCCUCUGCCCUAAUAUGGCGGGGGGAUGACGGUACCGGAAGAAUAAGCACCGGCUAACUACGUGCCAGCAGCCGCGGUAAUACGUAGGGUGCAAGCGUUAAUCGGAAUUACUGGGCGUAAAGCGUGCGCAGGCGGUUCGCUAAGACAGAUGUGAAAUCCCCGGGCUUAACCUGGGAACUGCAUUUGUGACUGGCGGGCUAGAGUAUGGCAGAGGGGGGUAGAAUUCCACGUAGCAGUGAAAUGCGUAGAGAUGUGGAGGAAUACCGAUGGCGAAGGCAGCCCCCUGGGCCAAUACUGACGCUCAUGCACGAAAGCGUGGGGAGCAAACAGGAUUAGAUACCCUAGUAGUCC
Molecule: ribosomal RNA, 791 nt
Filed under: uncultured bacterium
Lineage: Bacteria
Description: bacterial SSU rRNA
Rfam family: Bacterial small subunit ribosomal RNA
Source: RNAcentral